GUGCAGGGGAAGCUUCGGCUUCCUGGCUAUGGCGAUAAACGGAACGUAGAAUAAGCGUUGUGGACCCGGGGGCGGUACCCGGCGUCUCCACCAGGUUUCUUCCGGCUUUGCGGUCGGGGGAUAUGGGGACGAAACAGGCUCGACACGCGUGGUAAAACCGUUCCUUUUGCCCGGCAUUGUACCACCGUCAUCGGGCUAAAUCACAAGUGCCAACGAUAACUCUGAGGUGCUCGCUGUCGCUGCAUAAGCGAUAAGCGCGGUUCGGGAGGGCACCGGGCAACAGAAGCCCUCCCACCUCGGUUUCCCUGACAUCACCCUUCUGUGACAUAAUGUGGACG
RNAcentral lists this transfer-messenger RNA (338 nucleotides) under Acetobacter oeni. Its description in RNAcentral is "transfer RNA". The stretch from base 18 to 294 matches the Rfam family "Alphaproteobacteria transfer-messenger RNA", at positions 40 to 355 of the family's 355-position model. From Rfam's summary of the family: Bacterial tmRNA, also known as 10Sa RNA or SsrA, is named for its dual tRNA and mRNA-like properties. Its role is to liberate the mRNA from a stalled ribosome. Lineage: Bacteria; Pseudomonadati; Pseudomonadota; Alphaproteobacteria; Acetobacterales; Acetobacteraceae. The record is from RNAcentral.